Molecule: transfer RNA, 74 nt
Filed under: Caldilineaceae bacterium
Lineage: Bacteria; Bacillati; Chloroflexota; Caldilineae; Caldilineales; Caldilineaceae
Description: tRNA-Val
Rfam family: tRNA
About the family: Transfer RNA (tRNA) molecules are approximately 80 nucleotides in length. Their secondary structure includes four short double-helical elements and three loops (D, anti-codon, and T loops).
Source: RNAcentral
GGGGUCAUAGCUCAGUUGGUUAGAGCGCUUCGCUUACACCGAAGAGGCCGGGGGUUCGAGUCCCUCUGACCCCA